AAAUUUUGCAACCGAGAUAAAAGAUGAUACAAUUACCCUGUCAGAAAUGACUAUAAUGAUAAACGUUGUGAGUAAUAGGUACUGUGGACUCGGGGGCGGAGCCCGACACUUCCACCAAGAUUUAUGGGAGUGAAUAGAUUCGACAUGGGCUGAAAGGCAUAGCUUUCAUUCGGGGCGGUUUCCGUUAUAGAACCAAUAAAUAUAAAUGCGAAAAAUGAAUUAGUCGCAGAGAACGAUAACGAGGUAAGGGCGUUCGCUAAUGACAAUAUCCAGAGUGAUGUUGCGUUGGCUGCCUGAUCUGAGGUAAGUGAUCGCGGUUUGGGGGCACCGGGCAACAGAAGCUCCCGCCU
Molecule: transfer-messenger RNA, 350 nt
Filed under: Alphaproteobacteria bacterium
Lineage: Bacteria; Pseudomonadati; Pseudomonadota; Alphaproteobacteria
Rfam family: Alphaproteobacteria transfer-messenger RNA
About the family: Bacterial tmRNA, also known as 10Sa RNA or SsrA, is named for its dual tRNA and mRNA-like properties. Its role is to liberate the mRNA from a stalled ribosome. To accomplish this part of the tmRNA is used as a reading frame that ends in a translation stop signal.
Source: RNAcentral